AUGAGAAUAAACAACUUCAAUCCGUUUGUGUCACAUAAUAUUUUCAAAAUCUGCUGCUAAUAGUUGACUAACAAAGUCAGAUAUGUUAUCCAUAAUCGAUUACUAUGCAGCUUGAAUAUUUUCAGUUUAAGCAUUUUCACAAAACAAUCGAUUGUUAAACACACACAAUCGAUUGUUGAGAAUUGACAAUCGAUUGUUA
RNAcentral lists this long non-coding RNA (199 nucleotides) under Nicotiana benthamiana. Its description in RNAcentral is "long non-coding RNA (NBEN_LNC000183)". The record is from RNAcentral. Lineage: Eukaryota; Viridiplantae; Streptophyta; Magnoliopsida; Solanales; Solanaceae.